AAUGCCUUUUUCUCAGAUUCAUCAAUGUGAGAAUAACAGAAUGACCAAAGAAGCUGAAUCGGUUCGCUCUUGAGAAACUUCCUCUGCUUUCUU
RNAcentral lists this small RNA (93 nucleotides) under Arabidopsis thaliana (thale cress). Its description in RNAcentral is "ATSL218520". Lineage: Eukaryota; Viridiplantae; Streptophyta; Magnoliopsida; Brassicales; Brassicaceae. The record is from RNAcentral.